GCAUUGAUAGUGUAGGGGUAUCAUGAGUCGUUGCCAAACUCAUCAUCUGCUUCAUGCGAUGUGACUACCGAUUCGACUCGACCGGGGUUCGAGUCCCCGUCAAUGCA
Non-coding RNA from Ustilago trichophora, 107 nucleotides. Lineage: Eukaryota; Fungi; Basidiomycota; Ustilaginomycetes; Ustilaginales; Ustilaginaceae. The record is from the annotation of a GenBank genome assembly.